Molecule: transfer RNA, 73 nt
Filed under: Candidatus Omnitrophota bacterium
Lineage: Bacteria; Pseudomonadati; Candidatus Omnitrophota
Description: tRNA-Ala
Rfam family: tRNA
About the family: Transfer RNA (tRNA) molecules are approximately 80 nucleotides in length.
Source: RNAcentral
GGGCCUGUAGCUCAGUUGGUAGAGCACCUGCUUUGCAAGCAGGGGGUCAGCGGUUCGAGCCCGCUCAGGUCCA